This 329-nucleotide unclassified non-coding RNA is filed under the name soil metagenome. Its description in RNAcentral is "partial contains 5.8S ribosomal RNA, internal transcribed spacer 2, and large subunit ribosomal RNA". The stretch from base 1 to 120 matches the Rfam family "5.8S ribosomal RNA", at positions 35 to 154 of the family's 154-position model. The record is from RNAcentral.
GAUGAAGAACUUAGCGAAAUGCGAUAAUUAAUGUGAAUUGCAGAAUUCAGUGAAUCAUCGAAUCUUUGAACGCACAUUGCGCCCCUUGGUAUUCCGAGGGGCAUGCCUGUUCGAGCGUCAUUAUAACCCCUCAAGCUCAGCUUGGUGUUGGGGCCUGCUGCACUGGCAGCCCUUAAAAUCAGUGGCGGCGCCAUCUGGCUCUAAGCGUAGUAAUUCUUCUCGCUAUGGAGUCCUGGUGGAUGCUUGCCAUCAACCCCCAAUUUUUCUAUGGUUGACCUCGGAUCAGGUAGGGAUACCCGCUGAACUUAAGCAUAUCAAUAAGCGGAGGA